Molecule: long non-coding RNA, 2384 nt
Organism: Rosa rugosa (rugosa rose)
Lineage: Eukaryota; Viridiplantae; Streptophyta; Magnoliopsida; Rosales; Rosaceae
Exons: 9
Source: RefSeq, a predicted model, not a curated record
UAGUGACUUUUGUCUCUCACUUUGUUUAUUUCCAACACCUAGACAGAUUACCAUCAAAGCACUAUUUCUUCAUCACUCUUCUUCUCUCCCCGAAAAGACAAGUACCUUAAUCUUCAUCCACAACCAACCUCUGUGUCCGACUCAAAUGAAAAUCGGGCUUCCAAUCGAAGCGCCCAGUGGAUUUCACCAUCUCUCCACUGAAACCUGCAUCCCUGAUCCCUAAUCAUCAACCCCUCAACUCUUGACCCCAAAAUUUCGUCAACCAUCAAAACCCUAACUCGCUCUCUCCAACUUAUUACCCAUGCGGGGUCCCCAUCGCUCUGAGCGCAAGGUCAGUGAAGCAGCAAAAACAAAAUUGAAGCUCUAGAGGUGGAGAAGGACUCCCUCAUCAAAUCGAACAAGGCCACCUAGCAGACCAUGUGAGAGUGUGGGACUGGAAGCAACAGAUCUACGCUGAAGCUAACACUGACUCUGCUUUCAUCCCUUUCGCCAGACUCAAAGCCAUCUACAGCGAAGCCCUACUUCCCCAAUCGCAAUGAAAGAGGAUUCCAAAUCUACCGAAGCUAAAUUUAUGGCCUCCAUUCUCUUGAAGAAGCAAAAGCAGAAGCAGAAAACCACCAAGCUCGGAAGCUCCAGAACCCACAUCAACAACCUCCCCAAGCUCCUCUCCUACGUCACCCUAACCUCACCGCCUUAGUACGUCGUCGAAUCUCUCCUCUCCAUCCAAGCCUUCUUCACUCCCGUCUUGCCUGACCUCCCUUCCUCUUCUUCCAAGCCCAAUCACUCCCAGGACGACAACCCCGAGUUCAUAUACAGCACUUGGCUCUGGUCCAAGUUUGACGACCUUGUCGAGUCCCUCAUCCAGCUCCUUCUUUUGCCGGAAUCCGAUGAAACUCUCAAGGAGGUGGUGUUGGAUACACUGAUGGAGUUUUUGAAGUUGGGAAACGGAAGAAGGUUUCACUCUGCUAUAUUCCUUAGGUUUCUUCGUAACAUUGUGUAAUCUACAACAUUGCCGAAUUUCUUGGUAGACUUGCUUACAUCAAAGUAUUUCAAGUAUAUUGAUGUCCGAUAAAGUCAGCUUGUUGUUAGGACUGAUAAUUGAUAAAUCUGAAAUCAGAUUGCUUCAUUGAGUUCUUUGACAGGUAUUGAAAAUGUAAUUCAUAGAUUUUUUUGGCUAUGGGGGGUUUUUGGGUGGCCAACCGCCGCAGGAGCAUCAUCCUCUGGGUGGACCGGGGCUGUCAUCUGUGGGAAAUCAGGGACCGGGGAGUGGUGCUUAAAAUUACGAGAAUAUGCUCUCGUUUGAAGAUUGUAUUAGCUGUGCUUUUAUCGCCACUUCCUCUGUUCAUCUGCACCUUUUAAGAUGUAGUACUCUCUCACCCUUUGCCAGACUCAAAGCCAUCUACAGCGAAGCCCCACUUCCCCAAUCGCUACCCCCUCAUCGAAUUGGAUUUGUGAAUUUUUUUUGGUUUCAACAACAACCAUAUAUGUUUAUGUUGAUCAUUGUCUCAGACUCAGGGUUACUACUGCUGCUAGAAUAACGUCAUAAAAUGCACUAUGUGUCUGCUUCAAAUCAUUUUGCUUGAUAUUCUUUCCUCGUGAUUUCAAGUUCAUGCCUUAUUGAAGGAGCUGGCUCAGAAGUCUUUCAAUGCGACCUCGGAAUUAAAGCAGUAUACCACUUUAAGAGUGGAAGUUGGGAAUGCAAGAUUUGAAUUGCUGGAUAGGAUGAAAGAAGAGAGCAAGGAAACAACUAUGCAGCUAGUUGAUAUGGAGUGUGGUUACCUCACCGUUGAAUUUUUCCACAAGCUUCCUCAGGAUAUUGAAAAGGGGGGAAAUCCGACACACUCACUUUUCGACAGAUAUAACGAUUCCUACCUCCGGCGGGUUGGCCAUUCCUCCUCAACCUAGCAACAAGGAGUGCGGGUACUUUAUCAUGUGCUACAUGAGAGAUAUCAUUGAGGAUAAAAACAUGUCAUUGUUUCCUUCCAAGUGGGAGAGGAGAGACAGCAGCUAAUACACCCAAGCGGAUAUUGAUCAAGUGCGAAAUGAAUAGGGAAAGUUUGUUGUCAACACGUAUGUGCAUGAGCCAUGAAGUAUGUCGUGAAGGCAUAUGUGUAGGAGCUAAAGGAAAGCAUAAGAGGAAGUAGGUUGUUGUUGAAGGAAAGCAUCAUUUUUGUGCUUCUUUGCUGGUACAAUAUUCAUGCACUGUGUGACAUGUUUUGUAACAAAUAGUUUGUAUUUGUAUCAGCUUUUGAUGUCCCAAGUAGAUGGGCAUGCAUUUGAAUGCUUUUCUUCUUUCAAUGUUGGCUUGGAUGAUUGGGAAAUCCUCCCUUUUAACGUUUGAAUGCUUUUCUUCAAAUAGUAUGAGUUGGAUUACUCAUUUCAUA